CUUAAUGUGAUUUGUACCUGCUAUUUAAUUAUUUGUAAAUUUUUUGUUAAAAUUAUUUUUCUUUGUUUAACUAUGUUGCAAUCAGUCUGCACCAAAUUCUUUUUAACUACUUGUCCGAGGACCAAUAUUCUGACAUUUUUCUUAUUGGUCCAAACAAAGUUUUGCAAAAGCUUACUAGUUCAAAUGAAAUUGUACUAGUCGGAGGCAUCGGGCUAGUGGCUAACUGUUCAGACUGUGCAUUUAACAUUUCAUGACAUCAUGACACUAUUAAUUUAAGUUUUACACACUUGAAUCUAUAUCACACCCCAUAUCAAUAAAAAUCUUUGUUUCGUAUAUUAUUGUAUAAAUGUUAUAGAUAUCAGUUAGCAGGGUGAAUAAAAGUAAAGACUACAAAAUUAGUGUCUUUAAACAUAUUUUUUUAUUGCAUUUACUAUUAUUUUCUGAGAAUUGUUUAUAUUUUUACUAUUAGUCCAGAAAUAGAUCUCUCUCAAAUAAUUAGUGCAUAAUGUCCAUUAGAAAGUAAAUAUAUUUAAUAAAUGUUUGGUAAUUGUAAAUUGAAAGACUUUAAAUGAAAGAUAAUCGUGUAUGACUGUUGUGUAGGUACACUUUAAAUUGUGUUAGUGUUUAUUUUAGAGCAACAAAACCACAUCGAUUGCAAAUGCAUGUAGUUGUUAGAGCAUUUAACAAUAAUCUGAGUUAAUUACAUGUAGUAGUAGUAUUUUAUUUUUGAAAUGUAUUUCAAUUAAAGAUGGAUGUAUAUUACUGAAUUAUAGAUUUGCAUGAUAAAACAUGUGUCAAUGCUAUUUUAUUUGGCAGGCAAUAUUCAUGUUUAUUUCAUAUUGGUUGAGAAUAAGCUUAUCUGAUUGGAUAAAAAGCAACCACAUGGCAUUUUUUAUUCUUCUGUAAUAAAUUCCUUUGGUCUUAACAGAACAAAACGGACUGGAAAACCGGUCGUUAACAGACUUUUACAUGAUAAUGACCGGUGGGGCAUGGUGUGUCUGUUUGAGUGACGUUCCGUAAUAAAACGCAAUCACGAUUCAGAAGUGUUGACAGUUUACAGUUUAGGAAAAUGGAAGACACAUCUGCUAGUGCAGACAACUCUAAUGACCGUUUUGCAACUUUUAAAAUUAAAGUUAACUUUAUUUUGUAUUUCUUAUACUGAUGUGACUUAUAGUUAUUUAAAACCAUGACCAGUCUUCACUCUUUCCUAUAGAAAUCGUACAUUAUCUCGAGGUUAUUUUCAAUAAUUUGAAUUUAUGAAUUCUUUUUUAAACAUAGUUUCUCAAUUAAAUGAACAUAAUAGUUAUUGAAAACUGGUCAUUAUCCUGAUAUAUGGACAGACGUAAAACAGUGGUAUUGACUGCAACAGCGAUAAAAACCAUGACUUCGGCUUCGGCUCGGUCAUUAUCACUAUCUUAGUCAAUACCACUGUCCUGUGGAUUGUCAAUAUACACGAUAAUGACCAGUUUUUCAAUAACUAUUAUGUAAAUACAAUUUACAUUUUAAAUUGUUUAUAGAUUCUUAUGCAGUAAGUAAAUUUCAUGACACUGUUCUAAGAGCUAGAUUGGUUCAUGUAGGAAAUGAUUUUAUUUUGUUUCUUAAUUUCCUUAAUAAGUACACACAUAGCAAUAACCAUUUUUAGCUUGUGAAAUAUUACCCUUUUCUUGAUCUAUAAACUGUUAUAAUAUUUUGUUGUGUUUUGUUUGUGUUAUCUUAAUUUCUAAAUGAUCUCUAACAAAUAUCUGUCUGUGAUAUUUUGGAACAUUUGUGUUAUGCAAUAGUUUAUACUUCUAUACUCCUUCAAUGUUGAAUGUAGUGUAAAUUGUAAAAUAUUCUCCAAUUAUCUCCCUUUUUUCAAUAUUGUCAAUGCAGAUUCUUCAUUAAAAAGAACUACUUUGUUGUGCAUUUCGUUAGUAUGUUUACUGCUUAUUUCAAUAUUUAAUUGAAUAUCCUUUGACAUCAUUUUAUUUACUAACACUCAGGUAUUAAAAGAAUCAUUUAAAGACUAAAAUGUCAAAUAAUAAAUAAUAGAUAUUUCUAUUGCUGACCUGUAUAUAAUUUGUUUGGACAUUCAAAAAUAGGACAGUGAUAACCCUUUUGUCAAAUUCUAUUAUUUACCAUUGAUACUAUAUCAACAACUAACACUGUUGUAAAUGUUUCUCCCAUGCACAUUUAAAGUCAAAAUUUGUUAAUCGUUGCCAGACAAAUAGAAACAGAGAUUCCUCAAUCAGGCUACUAAUAUUGUUAAGAUUUGUUUUUAAGUUUGUUAUUUACUGAACAUCUUUUUAUCUAUAAAGUGAUAUGAACAAAACCAAGCAGUUAAAAUUAAAUUUAUAGAAUCAUGUAUGAACCAGCUGGGAAAAGUCUGAAAAAAACUUUUUCUUGACUUGGCAGUUGUAAAAAAGUGUAUGUAAAGAUUGACACUAAAUGAUCAAUUUGGUCUAAAUCAUGUGUCCUAAUUAUGUUUAAACUAAAUAAAAAAGGCAAUAAUCAGUUGGAAUUUUGCACUUCAUCUGAUAGCAAACACGACUAUGCCUUGGUUUAAGAGCAUCAUACAAAGGAGAUAAUCCAGUUAAAGUUGCAUUUUAUUUUCUUAACAUAUUGUUUGGAUAAUCAGUCUUUUAUAAUAUUUUUGAUACUCUUAUUUUAUGCAAUAAGAUUGUAAUUUUUGUUUGUUUUAAUUUAUUUUUUGAAUUGAUUGUUUAUUUAUAUUUUUUGUAAUAAUGUAAUAAAUACAUUAAGAC
RNAcentral lists this long non-coding RNA (2744 nucleotides) under Mytilus galloprovincialis (Mediterranean mussel). Lineage: Eukaryota; Metazoa; Mollusca; Bivalvia; Mytilida; Mytilidae. The record is from RNAcentral.